GACGAACGCUGGCGGCGGGCUUAACACAUGCAAGUCGAACGGAAAGGCCCUGCUUUUGUGGGGUGCUCGAGUGGCGAACGGGUGAGUAACACGUGAGUAACCUGCCCUUUACUUUGGGAGAACUUCAGGAAACUGGGGCUUAUACCGGAUAGGAGCUCCUGCUGCGUGGUGGGGGUUGGAAAGUUUCGGCGGUUGGGGAUGGACUCGCGGCUUAUCAGCUUGUUGGUGGGGUAGUGGCUUACCAAGGCUUUGACGGGUAGCCGGCCUGAGAGGGUGACCGGCCACAUUGGGACUGAGAUACGGCCCAGACUCCUACGGGAGGCAGCAGUGGGGAAUAUUGCACAAUGGGCGGAAGCCUGAUGCAGCAACGCCGCGUGCGGGAUGACGGCCUUCGGGUUGUAAACCGCUUUCGCCUGUGACGAAGCGUGAGUGACGGUAAUGGGUAAAGAAGCACCGGCUAACUACGUG
RNAcentral lists this ribosomal RNA (468 nucleotides) under uncultured bacterium. Its description in RNAcentral is "partial 16S ribosomal RNA". It matches the Rfam family "Bacterial small subunit ribosomal RNA", at positions 28 to 507 of the family's 1533-position model. The record is from RNAcentral.